CUACGUGCCAGCAGCCGCGGUAAUACGUAGGUCCCGAGCGUUGUCCGGAUUUAUUGGGCGUAAAGCGAGCGCAGGCGGUUAGAUAAGUCUGAAGUUAAAGGCUGUGGCUUAACCAUAGUACGCUUUGGAAACUGUUUAACUUGAGUGCAAGAGGGGAGAGUGGAAUUCCAUGUGUAGCGGUGAAAUGCGUAGAUAUAUGGAGGAACACCGGUGGCGAAAGCGGCUCUCUGGCUUGUAACUGACGCUGAGGCUCGAAAGCGUGGGGAGCAAACAGGAUUAGAUACCCUGGUAGUCCACGCCGUAAACGAUGAGUGCUAGGUGUUAGACCCUUUCCGGGGUUUAGUGCCGUAGCUAACGCAUUAAGCACUCCGCCUGGGGAGUACGACCGCAAGGUUGAAACUCAAAGGAAUUGACGGGGGCCCGCACAAGCGGUGGAGCAUGUGGUUUAAUUCGA
RNAcentral lists this ribosomal RNA (454 nucleotides) under uncultured bacterium. Its description in RNAcentral is "bacterial SSU rRNA". It matches the Rfam family "Bacterial small subunit ribosomal RNA", at positions 501 to 954 of the family's 1533-position model. The record is from RNAcentral.